RNAcentral lists this transfer-messenger RNA (413 nucleotides) under Candidatus Omnitrophota. RNAcentral's name for it is "UBA10015 sp003522725 Standard tmRNA". It matches the Rfam family "transfer-messenger RNA". Rfam says of the family: Bacterial tmRNA, also known as 10Sa RNA or SsrA, is named for its dual tRNA and mRNA-like properties. Lineage: Bacteria; Pseudomonadati. RNAcentral also lists the same sequence under 2 other names. The record is from RNAcentral.
GGGGGUGAUCGGUCUCGACUUGAGUUGGCAGGGUAUAGGUGGCAUGCCGGGGAAGCUUGGUCGGCCCCGUUAACAAUCCAGGCACACAAUAAACGCAAACGAUACAACGUUAGCGGCAGCCGAGGCGAUCGUAGCUCCGAUUUUCGCAGCUCCGAUCCUCCCUCCGGUUGCACUCGCCUUAGCUUUAUAAUAAGCUAAGCCCUCUUGCAGGCCUCGCCUGCGGGUUUGACAAGGGGACCUUGGCAGGCUGGUUAGAAACGAGUGUCUCGGCGUUUUUAAUAAGAUUUUAGAGACUGGCCCUAAGGAUCCUGUCUGCCGGAGGAAUUAGGGUAAGACCAAAAGACAGACUACGCAUGUAGAAGCUUAUAUUCCGUGACCCAAGGACCCGGGUUCGAUUCCCGGCACCUCCACCA